This 433-nucleotide ribosomal RNA is filed under the name uncultured bacterium. RNAcentral describes it as "partial 16S ribosomal RNA". It matches the Rfam family "Bacterial small subunit ribosomal RNA", at positions 29 to 507 of the family's 1533-position model. The record is from RNAcentral.
AACGAACGCUGGCGGCAGGCUUAACACAUGCAAGUCGAACGCACCUUUCGGGGUGAGUGGCAGACGGGUGAGUAACGCGUGGGAAUCUACCCUUCUCUACGGGAUAGCUCCGGGAAACUGGAAUUAAUACCGUAUACGUCCUGAGGGAGAAAGAUUUAUCGGGGAAGGGUGAGCCGGCGUUGGUUUGGCAAGUUGUUGGGGUAAAGGCCUGCCAGGGCGAGGAUCCUUAGCUGGUCUAAGAGGAUGAUCAGCCACAUUGGGACUAAGACACGGCCCAAGCUCCUACGGGAGGCAGCAGUGGGGAAUAUUGGACAAUGGGCGCAAGCCUGAUCCAGCCAUGCCGCGUGAGUGAUGAAGGCCCUAGGGUUGUAAAGCUCUUUCAGUGGGGACGAUAAUGACGGUACCCACAGAAGAAGCCCCGGCUAACUUCGUG